RNAcentral lists this ribosomal RNA (465 nucleotides) under Streptococcus sp. oral taxon 064. RNAcentral's name for it is "bacterial SSU rRNA". It matches the Rfam family "Bacterial small subunit ribosomal RNA", at positions 28 to 477 of the family's 1533-position model. The record is from RNAcentral. Lineage: Bacteria; Bacillati; Bacillota; Bacilli; Lactobacillales; Streptococcaceae.
GACGAACGCUGGCGGCGUGCCUAUACAUGCAAGUAGAACGCUGAAGGAGGAGCUUGCUCUUCUGGAUGAGUUGCGAACGGGUGAGUAACGCGUAGGUAACCUGCCUGGUAGCGGGGGAUAACUAUUGGAAACGAUAGCUAAUACCGCAUAAUAGUAGAUGUUGCAUGACAUUUGCUUAAAGGUGCAAUUGCAUCACUACCAGAUGGACCUGCGUUGUAUUAGCUAGUUGGUGGGGUAACGGCUCACCAAGGCGACGAUACAUAGCCGACCUGAGAGGGUGAUCGGCCACACUGGGACUGAGACACGGCCCAGACUCCUACGGGAGGCAGCAGUAGGGAAUCUUCGGCAAUGGACGAAAGUCUGACCGAGCAACGCCGCGUGAGUGAAGAAGGUUUUCGGAUCGUAAAGCUCUGUUGUAAGAGAAGAACGAGUGUGAGAGUGGAAAAGUUCACACUGUGGACCGGU